Mustela putorius furo (domestic ferret) is the source of this 111-nucleotide ribosomal RNA. Lineage: Eukaryota; Metazoa; Chordata; Mammalia; Carnivora; Mustelidae. The record is from Ensembl.
GUCUACGGCCAUACCACCCUGAACGCGCCCAAUCUCGUCUGAUCUCGGAAGCUAAGCAGGGUCGGGCCUGGUUAGUACUUGGAUGGGAGAAAAAGACAAAUACCAUAUGAU